UUUCAUAAUGAGUUUAUUGUCUCAUUCGCUGGUUUUAAGGCUUCUGCAAACCAGAAUGAUAUUCAUUUUUUGAAUUAUGGUCUCGAUUAUAAAAUCAGUGAUAAAGCAGGGGGUAUUUUAGGGCGUGGCUAUGAUGGCAUUGACAGUCAAAGUGUGU
This is a long non-coding RNA of Etheostoma spectabile (orangethroat darter), 157 nucleotides long. RefSeq lists it as uncharacterized. NCBI's taxonomy places the organism in Eukaryota, Metazoa, Chordata, Actinopteri, Perciformes, Percidae. The transcript is spliced from 3 exons. The record is from RefSeq and is a predicted model, not a curated record.